Molecule: transfer-messenger RNA, 353 nt
Filed under: Bdellovibrionales
Lineage: Bacteria; Pseudomonadati; Bdellovibrionota; Bdellovibrionia
Also listed under: 3 other names
Description: UBA6776 sp002453155 Standard tmRNA
Rfam family: transfer-messenger RNA
About the family: Bacterial tmRNA, also known as 10Sa RNA or SsrA, is named for its dual tRNA and mRNA-like properties. Its role is to liberate the mRNA from a stalled ribosome.
Source: RNAcentral
GGGGGCGACAUGGCUUCGACGUGGGUAUUGAAGCUUUGGGAGCAUGCAGGGGCGCACGAGGUCCUCUCUAAAAACGUGCACAAUUGUAAUUGGCAACGAUUACGCACUAGCUGCCUAAUUUAGAGUAGCUCACUGAACCGGUGUUGCGAUGACGAACCCGGGGAAGUGUCACUUUAGUCAUCUCGUUUGAAAGUUGUUUUCUCCAGGGCUUUCGAAUUAAAUUUUCUGGGGGACGGAUUGAGAAAAGUUUGUUCUUCGACGUUUCUCUUUCUUUGAUAAAUGAAGAACUAAGCAUGUAGCGCCCAACAGUGGAUCGCUUGCGGACGCGGGUUCGAUUCCCGCCGCCUCCACCA